CCUACGGGAGGCAGCAGUGAGGGAUAUUGGUCAAUGGACGAGAGUCUGAACCAGCCAAGUAGCGUGAAGGAUGACUGCCCUAGGGGUUGUAAACUUCUUUUAUAUGGGAAUAAAAUGUUCCAUGUGUGGGUUUUUGUAUGUACCAUAUGAAUAAGGAUCGGCUAACUCCGUGCCAGCAGCCGCGGUAAUACGGAGGAUCCGAGCGUUAUCCGGAUUUAUUGGGUUUAAAGGGAGCGUAGGUGGAUUGUUAAGUCAGUUGUGAAAGUUUGCGGCUCAACCGUAAAAUUGCAGUUGAAACUGGCAGUCUUGAGUACAGUAGAGGUGGGCGGAAUUCGUGGUGUAGCGGUGAAAUGCUUAGAUAUCACGAAGAACUCCGAUUGCGAAGGCAGCUCACUGGACUGCAACUGACACUGAGGCUCGAAAGUGUGGGUAUCAAACAGGAUUAGAUACCCUAGUAGUC
RNAcentral lists this ribosomal RNA (460 nucleotides) under uncultured bacterium. Its description in RNAcentral is "partial 16S ribosomal RNA". It matches the Rfam family "Bacterial small subunit ribosomal RNA", at positions 338 to 795 of the family's 1533-position model. The record is from RNAcentral.